RNAcentral lists this ribosomal RNA (1398 nucleotides) under synthetic construct. RNAcentral describes it as "bacterial SSU rRNA". It matches the Rfam family "Bacterial small subunit ribosomal RNA". RNAcentral also lists the same sequence under 2 other names. The record is from RNAcentral.
AGAGUUUGAUCCUGGCUCAGGAUGAACGCUAGCUACAGGCUUAACACAUGCAAGUCGAGGGGCAGCAUGGUCUUAGCUUGCUAAGGCCGAUGGCGACCGGCGCACGGGUGAGUAACACGUAUCCAACCUGCCGUCUACUCUUGGACAGCCUUCUGAAAGGAAGAUUAAUACAAGAUGGCAUCAUGAGUCCGCAUGUUCACAUGAUUAAAGGUAUUCCGGUAGACGAUGGGGAUGCGUUCCAUUAGAUAGUAGGCGGGGUAACGGCCCACCUAGUCUUCGAUGGAUAGGGGUUCUGAGAGGAAGGUCCCCCACAUUGGAACUGAGACACGGUCCAAACUCCUACGGGAGGCAGCAGUGAGGAAUAUUGGUCAAUGGGCGAGAGCCUGAACCAGCCAAGUAGCGUGAAGGAUGACUGCCCUAUGGGUUGUAAACUUCUUUUAUAAAGGAAUAAAGUCGGGUAUGCAUACCCGUUUGCAUGUACUUUAUGAAUAAGGAUCGGCUAACUCCGUGCCAGCAGCCGCGGUAAUACGGAGGAUGCGAGCGUUAUCCGGAUUUAUUGGGUUUAAAGGGUGCGUAGGCGGCACGCCAAGUCAGCGGUGAAAUUUCCGGGCUCAACCCGGACUGUGCCGUUGAAACUGGCGAGCUAGAGUGCACAAGAGGCAGGCGGAAUGCGUGGUGUAGCGGUGAAAUGCAUAGAUAUCACGCAGAACCCCGAUUGCGAAGGCAGCCUGCUAGGGUGCGACAGACGCUGAGGCACGAAAGCGUGGGUAUCGAACAGGAUUAGAUACCCUGGUAGUCCACGCAGUAAACGAUGAAUACUAACUGUUUGCGAUACAAUGUAAGCGGUACAGCGAAAGCGUUAAGUAUUCCACCUGGGGAGUACGCCGGCAACGGUGAAACUCAAAGGAAUUGACGGGGGCCCGCACAAGCGGAGGAACAUGUGGUUUAAUUCGAUGAUACGCGAGGAACCUUACCCGGGCUCAAACGCAGGGGGAAUGUCGGUGAAAGCCGGCAGCUAGUAAUAGUCACCUGCGAGGUGCUGCAUGGUUGUCGUCAGCUCGUGCCGUGAGGUGUCGGCUUAAGUGCCAUAACGAGCGCAACCCCUAUCGACAGUUACUAACGGGUGAAGCCGAGGACUCUGUCGAGACUGCCGGCGCAAGACGCGAGGAAGGUGGGGAUGACGUCAAAUCAGCACGGCCCUUACGUCCGGGGCGACACACGUGUUACAAUGGCAGGUACAGAAGGCAGCCAGUCAGCAAUGACGCGCGAAUCCCGAAAACCUGUCUCAGUUCGGAUUGGAGUCUGCAACCCGACUCCAUGAAGCUGGAUUCGCUAGUAAUCGCGCAUCAGCCAUGGCGCGGUGAAUACGUUCCCGGGCCUUGCACUCACCGCCCGUCA